CUCUUUCUCGAUUCAGUGGAUGGUGGUGCAUGGCCGUUCUUAGUUGGUGGAGYGAUCUGUCUGGUUAAUUCCGAUAACGAACGAGACUCUCCCCUGCUAACUAGUCGGUUGGAUCUUGAUCAGUGGGUUGAGUGCCGAGUAACUCUCGCUGUGCGUGGUGUGCGUUUCGUUCCUCACGGUUCGUUGCGUGCUCAUGUGUGGCGUUGGAUGCCUUGGAUCACACUGCACCCCAAGUCCGCCGCUUUGCUAUAACUCUUCUUAGAGGGAUUCACGGCACUGAAGCCGUAAGAGACUGAGAGCAAUAACAGGUCUGUGAUGCCCUUAGAUGCUCUGGGCCGCACGCGCGCUACAAUGCCGGGCACAGCAGGUGUUUCUCCUGCUCCGACAGGAGCGGGUAACCCUCUGAAAGCCAGUGUUCUUGCAAGUGCUUCCUCCCUCGUGGAGUUGCACAGAGGCGUGCUUGGGCCUGGGACUUGCAAUUCUUUCCCACCAACGAGGAAUGCCUAGUAGCGGCGGGUCACUGAGCCCGCUGUGACUCAGUCCCUGCCCUUUGUACACACCGCCCGUCGCUACUACCGAUUGGGUGUACCAGUGAGAGCCUUGGACUGGCGUCCGGUGUUGCUCGCAAGAGUGACAAGCGGGUCCGACGGAAAGAGG
This 657-nucleotide ribosomal RNA is filed under the name Diplacanthus brevispinus. RNAcentral's name for it is "bacterial SSU rRNA". It matches the Rfam family "Eukaryotic small subunit ribosomal RNA", at positions 1266 to 1778 of the family's 1831-position model. The record is from RNAcentral. Lineage: Eukaryota; Metazoa; Arthropoda; Malacostraca; Amphipoda; Acanthogammaridae.